UACGUAGGGGGCAAGCGUUGUCCGGAAUUAUUGGGCGUAAAGCGCGCGCAGGCGGUCUCUUAAGUCUGAUGUGAAAGCCCACGGCUCAACCGUGGAGGGUCAUUGGAAACUGGGAGACUUGAGUGUAGGAGAGGAAAGUGGAAUUCCACGUGUAGCGGUGAAAUGCGUAGAGAUGUGGAGGAACACCAGUGGCGAAGGCGACUUUCUGGCCUAUAACUGACGCUGAGGAGCGAAAGCGUGGGGAGCAAACAGG
This 253-nucleotide ribosomal RNA is filed under the name uncultured bacterium. RNAcentral describes it as "partial 16S ribosomal RNA". It matches the Rfam family "Bacterial small subunit ribosomal RNA", at positions 524 to 776 of the family's 1533-position model. The record is from RNAcentral.